Molecule: long non-coding RNA, 1303 nt
Organism: Etheostoma cragini (Arkansas darter)
Lineage: Eukaryota; Metazoa; Chordata; Actinopteri; Perciformes; Percidae
Exons: 2
Source: RefSeq, a predicted model, not a curated record
ACACCAAUAAACAUGGGUUUGUAGAGCUAGACUGAUAAUUUGGCCAGGCUAAUAUAUUUACCAAAUGAAGCUUAUUGUAAAUAUGCGGGUUUCUUUGUAUAGAUCCGCUGAUUAGAAUUAAAAAUUGCAGUCCAGAUACCAAACUAGGUUUGAGGUCAAUUAGGAACCUCGGCAGCAUUACACGCAACCAAUGAUUAAAUUGUGGCUCAACAUAAUUUUACAUUAUGGGCAGGAUUAUUGUUUAAUUCAUCUAAUGCAAUUAUCACAUUAUCAGUUUUCCAAAUACAUCAAUCAAUCUUAACAAUUUCUGGAUGUCUGAUCUAAACCCAUCAUCUAGUCUAGACCAAAUUUCCCCUAAAGUUCACUCCCAGAAUUAUGCCAGCAAGUGGUGAUGAAAUCAACUAUUAGGGGACAGCCUUCAAUCAAGCCUUUGAGAUGUGAUUUGGAAUCAAGUAUUCCAGACAAUCCCAGUUUGCUGUUAACAUAUACCCAAAGCCAAGACUUGAGUCAUGGAGGAGGGUGUCAACGAAGAUCUCUUAAUCCUCUGAAGCUUUAACAUUCAGACACGACAGAUCCUGAAAAGGCAAUGUUGAAGUUGUACAACAGGAAAGCUACAGCUCAGUGUUUUAGCUUCUUGUAUUCCAGUACAUUGUAAAUUGUUCAGCCAAAUCCUAUGGGCAGCCACUUCCUGCUUCAUGAUGGUCAGGCUCUGUGUAUUACCUGUAGUGUUUGUAGAGUGUUGUUGUAUGUCUUCUAAUCCGAAGCGCAGUAUACAGCCCAUAUUGUUGGAUAGAAUAUCUGCUCACCUUUACGGCAUGCUGCUGCACAUCGUCACAUUGUCUCAUCCAUUUCUGAAGAAAGCUGUAAACUGCUCGGACAAUGGAGAUCUCUUUGAAAAAUCAAGAACUAUAGGACAUUUUAUUUACAUGCAAUUAUAUGGAGUAUCUGUCCUCAUUAAGCUAACCUCAUUAACUCUACCAGUGUUGAAGAAAUGGAUGGAGUGACCGGAUUGGAGCUUGAUCCAUUAUAUGCUGCUGCUCUUUGACAAAGCUUUGUUUGUGUUUGGGUGUGCCUGGAUUUGAUGUUGCCAUGACAGAUUGUUGUUGCCAGAGAUUAAAUAUUCAUUGUGUCCUGUUGCUGCACAGUACCUCACAUUAACCCACGCCAUCGUCACAAGCUGGCCCUUAUAUUGCUGUCAUAUUGAUCAUAAAUACUUAAGCCUAUGUCCAAAUAUGUUCUGCAAUGUUCAAAGUGUUGAUUGUGUUCAAAGUGACAAUCAUAAUUAAAUAUACAUUUCUGAAGA